CUCCACUGGAGUUUUAAGCUCCAUGAAGGGCAGAAAAUUCAUAUCUCUUGUUCACUGCUGUAUUUCUAGUGUUUAGAACUGUGCUUGGCAGAUGAUGUCUUGGGUAUGGAAUGUGGGAGAAGAAGGAGGAGUCAAGAAUGACCCCAAGGUUUUUACUUCAGCAAUUAGAAGGUUGGAGCUGCCAUCAAUAGAGAUGGACAAGACUGGAGAAGAACCAGAAACAAACCCAUCAAUAUCCGGAGAACCCUAUCCAAGAAGGAAUUGCUCCGAAGAUAUUCAAUCCCCAAGUGUUUUGAAAACAGAUGCCAGCUAUGCCAAAUGAGUCCUUGAAACAGCUAAAUCACAUCCUGAUUUGAAGCAGCAAGUUAAAAGCUUACCCAUCUUUAAUGAUAGGAGGUAGAACCAAGUGCUCAGAAGAUUAAAGUAUUGUGAUCAUGAGGCUGAGGUCCUGGGCUCAAAUCCUGUGUGGCUCAU
Bubalus bubalis (water buffalo) is the source of this 474-nucleotide long non-coding RNA. RefSeq lists it as uncharacterized. The transcript is spliced from 3 exons. Lineage: Eukaryota; Metazoa; Chordata; Mammalia; Artiodactyla; Bovidae. The record is from RefSeq and is a predicted model, not a curated record.